UUGGGAAUCUUGCACAAUGGGGGAAACCCUGAUGCAGCGACGCCGCGUGGAGGAUGAAGGAUCUAGGUCUGUAAACUCCUUUUUCAGGGAAAGACUUAGGACGGUACCCUGAGAAUAAGGACCGGCUAACUACGUGCCAGCAGCCGCGGUAAGACGUAGGGUCCAAGCGUUGUCCGGAUUUACUGGGCGUAAAGAGCGCGUAGGCGGUCUAGUAAGUGUGAAGUGAAAUCUCCAGGGCUCAACCCGGAAACUGCUUUACAUACUGCAAGACUGGAGUGAUGAAGAGGUUUGUGGAAUUCCUGGUGUAACGGUGAAAUGUGUUGAUAUCAGGAGGAACACCCAUGGCGAAGGCAGCAAACUGGUCAUCAACUGACGCUGAGGCGCGAAAGCGUGGGUAGCAAACAG
RNAcentral lists this ribosomal RNA (405 nucleotides) under uncultured bacterium. RNAcentral describes it as "bacterial SSU rRNA". It matches the Rfam family "Bacterial small subunit ribosomal RNA", at positions 355 to 775 of the family's 1533-position model. The record is from RNAcentral.